UUAAUUUCUUUAUUUUGUUUGAAAAAUCCAAAAAGAGGCUUAUUUGUUUUGCACAAUCUAACAUGGCUAGGAAUAUCUUGUAUUUACACACGGAACACAUGAGUUUGCCGACGUUUAAAUGUAAUUACUAAUCCAGCACUUCAUGAUUCAUUAAAAUACAAAUAUGUACAAAAUCAAUGAACCCUACUUGUCAAAAAUACUUUUAAACUCCGUAGAACGGGAUACUGGGGGAAUAACUCUAUAAUGGGUUUUACUAGGUUAAUAUCUAAAAAAAAAAAAUUUUAUUAAACAUUUAUAAAAAUUGUCAGAAAAAUGGCUGGAUCAAGUUCACACAUGGAAACAAAGGAGAACAAGGGAAAUAAAGGAGAAUUAAAACAUCUUUCUACAGAAGAAAGUCAGGAAAUAUUUGCAGUACUCUCUACAGAGGAGAAGGAGGUUUUUAGAGAAGCUUUCAGUAAAUUUGAUAAAGAUGGUAGUGGAAAUAUUAGCA
This is a long non-coding RNA of Eurytemora carolleeae, 490 nucleotides long. RefSeq lists it as uncharacterized. The transcript has 3 exons. Lineage: Eukaryota; Metazoa; Arthropoda; Copepoda; Calanoida; Temoridae. The record is from RefSeq and is a predicted model, not a curated record.